Molecule: long non-coding RNA, 279 nt
Filed under: Elaeis guineensis (African oil palm)
Lineage: Eukaryota; Viridiplantae; Streptophyta; Magnoliopsida; Arecales; Arecaceae
Description: long non-coding RNA (EGUI_LNC073532)
Source: RNAcentral
CAGUGUCUGGCCAGGGCUUGGUCUCUCCGGACCUCUCCGAUCCCCUGGUUGGUGGGGAACUUCAACUUCAAAUGGUAGGUCGAUACGACGGCUCGGAGAGCGUUGAGGCCAGAUCGACCGAGAAUUGCAUUGUAGGCUGAUGGCGCCUUCACCACCAAGAAAUUCACCAGGGCCCUAGAUUGUCUUGGGUAUUGACCUGCGGCCACGGUCAAAGUUAUUAUUCCUUCCGUCGGAAUGGCGUCGCCGGUAAACCCUACCAAAGGGGAGCUAAUCGGCCUC